AGAGCGAACGCUGGCGGCAGGCCUAACACAUGCAAGUCGAGCGCCCGUAGCAAUACGGGAGCGGCAGACGGGAUAGUAACACGUGGGAACGCGCCCUUCGGUUCGGAAUAACUCAGGGAAACUUGAGCUAAUACCGAAUACGCCCUUACGGGGAAAGAUUUAUUGCCGAAGGAACGGCCCGCGUCCGAUUAGCUAGUUGGUGAGGUAAUGGCUCACCAAGGCUACGAUCGGUAGCUGGUCUGAGAGGAUGACCAGCAUCACUGGGACUGAGACACGGCCCAGACUCCUACGGGAGGCAGCAGUGGGGAAUAUUGGACAAUGGGCGCAAGCCUGAUCCAGCCAUGCCGCGUGGAUGAUGAAGGCCUUAGGGUUGUAAAGUCCUUUUAACGGGAAGUAUAAUGACGGUACCCGUAGAAUAAGCCCGGACUAACUUCGCGCCAGCAGCCGC
This 448-nucleotide ribosomal RNA is filed under the name uncultured bacterium. Its description in RNAcentral is "SSU rRNA". It matches the Rfam family "Bacterial small subunit ribosomal RNA", at positions 26 to 518 of the family's 1533-position model. The record is from RNAcentral.